CCUACGGGAUGCAGCAGUGGGGAAUAUUGCACAAUGGGGGAAACCCUGAUGCAGCGACGCCGCGUGGGUGACGAAGUAUUUCGGUAUGUAAAGCCCUAUCGGCAGGGAAGAAGGAGGACGGUACCUGACUAAGAAGCCCCGGCUAACUACGUGCCAGCAGCCGCGGUAAUACGUAGGGGGCAAGCGUUAUCCGGAUUUACUGGGUGUAAAGGGGGCGCAGACGGCAGCGCAAGCCAGGAGUGAAGGCCCGGGGCCCAACCCCGGGACUGCUCUUGGAACUGCGCGGCUGGAGUGCAGGAGGGGCAGGCGGAAUUCCUGGUGUAGCGGUGAAAUGCGGAGAUAUCAGGAGGAACACCGGUGGCGAAGGCGGCCUGCUGGACUGCGACUGACGUUGAGGCCCGAAAGCGUGGGGAGCAAACAGGAUUAGAUACCCGUGUAGUC
Molecule: ribosomal RNA, 441 nt
Filed under: uncultured bacterium
Lineage: Bacteria
Description: partial 16S ribosomal RNA
Rfam family: Bacterial small subunit ribosomal RNA
Source: RNAcentral